UGGGGAAUAUUGCACAAUGGGCGCAAGCCUGAUGCAGCCAUGCCGCGUGUGUGAAGAAGGCCUUCGGGUUGUAAAGCACUUUCAGCGGGGAGGAAGGCGUUAAGGUUAAUAACCUUGGCGAUUGACGUUACCCGCAGAAGAAGCACCGGCUAACUCCGUGCCAGCAGCCGCGGUAAUACGGAGGGUGCAAGCGUUAAUCGGAAUUACUGGGCGUAAAGCGCACGCAGGCGGUCUGUCAAGUCGGAUGUGAAAUCCCCGGGCUCAACCUGGGAACUGCAUUCGAAACUGGCAGGCUAGAGUCUUGUAGAGGGGGGUAGAAUUCCAGGUGUAGCGAUGAAAUGCGUAGAGAUCUGGAGGAAUACCGGAGGCGAAGGCGGCCCCCUGGACAAAGACUGACGCUCAGGUGCGAAAGCGUGGGGAGCAAACAGG
This 429-nucleotide ribosomal RNA is filed under the name Chloroflexota bacterium. RNAcentral's name for it is "Chloroflexi bacterium partial 16S ribosomal RNA". It matches the Rfam family "Bacterial small subunit ribosomal RNA", at positions 355 to 776 of the family's 1533-position model. Lineage: Bacteria; Bacillati; Chloroflexota. The record is from RNAcentral.